This 5315-nucleotide long non-coding RNA is filed under the name Triticum aestivum (bread wheat). Its description in RNAcentral is "long non-coding RNA (TAES_LNC020574)". The record is from RNAcentral. Lineage: Eukaryota; Viridiplantae; Streptophyta; Magnoliopsida; Poales; Poaceae.
ACGUCAUCAUGACUACUGUUGUUAAACCCGCAUUGGUUCAAAUCCGGUCCAUAUUCAAAUUUAAAUUAAAGUCAAAACAUUUAAAGUUUUCAAAUGUCAGAACUAAAAUGUUCAUAAUGUUGCAAAUAAUCACCAAGUAGUUUUCAUGGAAAAACCAACGUUAUUUGAAUUAAUGAAAUGCCCCUAACCUUUUCAAAAUAGAGCCAAUAUAGCAACUUUUAACUCAUUUAUAUUUAAACCCAAUCCUAAUGAAUUCAACAACCCUCACACUUUUUGUGACAGUACUAGGUUUUUCCCUAGUAUUUAUUCUGCUCAAUAACACUUUUUUCAAAACUCAUGUAGUGCAAGAAAUAGUGCAAAACAGAAAAGGAUAACAUAAAACAAAACUAAAAAAAGAAAGAAAAAAUAAAAACAAAGCCCCCCUCUUCAUGGGCCUAAUGGCCCAACCGGCCACCCAUGCCACCAGGAGGCCCAUCCCGUCCCACCUUAUCCCCGAGCAACGAAACCUAGCCCGCACCCACCACUCACCCCCACUCCCCCCAUGUUCGUCCCUCCCUGAUCCAGAUCAGGAUCGGGGGAAGGGACUGCAUCGCUGCACGCACCCGUCGCCUACUCCGGUGCCCACCGUGCCCUCUCCUCCUCUCGCGGCCGCGCGGCCGCGCCACCGCCGCCGCGCCCGCGCCCGGGGAUCCGCCACCUCCCGCCGUCCUCGCACCAUCGCCUCGCAUGAGCUCCUCCCAUGGCCACCGCCUAGUUGUGUCGCGCCAAGUCGCCCCUCACCGGAGAUGGACGGAUCCCGGAGGCCCCGUCGCGGGUCCGGCCUCCCUCGCCUUCUUCCCGCUCACCGGAGCCCCCCUCGUCACCCGCCGCCGUCGACGGAACCUCCCCGACCUCCUCCUCACGGGUCGCCGCCACGCCUCGCCGCCCCCGCUCCCCGCCAACGGCUGUGAGCGCCAACCUCGUCUCCUUUUCUCCUCGCCGCAGUCACCGACGCCCCGCGCUGAUCCGUGCACCCUCUCGCCCACACAUGGCCUCGCCUCCCUCUGUUACUGCUCACCCGUCGUUGCUCGCGGCUGGCCUCGCACAGUUUUGCAUCUGCCGUGCCCCAGCCCGCUCCGGCGUGCAUGCGCCUCGUCGGCAUUGCUCUUAUCCGGGGCCAUGCCCUGCUCCCCCGUCGCGCUUUGCGCUCGUCGCCGGCGCUCCUCUGUGAGCGGUCGCGCGUUGCCAAGCCAUGGCUGCUUGUGCCACUGCCACUAGGACCAACCCCCUUAAAAAGAGAAACGAAAUGAAUAACCAAAAGAAAUAAAUAAAAUAGGAUAAAUAGUUAAUUAAUUAUUUGGUUAAUUAACCUAAUUAAUUGGUUUAGCUAGCCUAACAGAAUAUGACAGUGGAACCCCUAGUUAAACUAAACUCUUGAACUAACCCUAGACUAUGACAUGUGGCCCCACCUUGGCCAGUUUGACCAGUCAAACUGCUGACUGUGUAUCACCUAGCCAAUGACAGAUGGCGCCCACCGCACUGUUCACGUUUGACCAGUCAAAUGUUAAAUGCUGAGUCAACUGUUGACUUGGGCCCACUGUUAGCCUCAAGCACACACUGAUGGGUACACUUUCGGGUGCACUUAGCAUGUAGUCCUUAUAAUAUUUUGAAUUAGUAUUAAAUUCAGAAAUUCAGAAAAUAAAUUAAAACUUUGAAAGUUAAUAUAAAAUGAUCCGUUACUCGGAUGAAAAAACUUUGUACAUAAAAGUUGCUCAGAACGACAAGACGAAUCCGCAUACACAGCCUGUUCGUCUGUCACGCAUCCCUAACAUAGCGAACACACAACUUUCCCCCUCCGGUUCAUCUGUCCGAAAACGUGAAAUACCGGGGAUAUUUUCCUGGAUGUUUCCCCCCUUCACCGGUACCACCUCAUACCGCGUUAGGGCACCCCUAGCACCGCUACUUGUCUUGUCAUGCAUCGCUAUGCAUCUGUUUGCUUAAUAUUUAUUGUUUCUUCCCCCUCUUCUCUCGCUAGACACCGAGACCGACACCGCUGCUACCCAGUACGACUAUGUUGUUGACGACCCCUCUCUCUUGGCAGAGCAACCAGGCAAGCCCCCCCCCCCCUUGAUCACCAGAUAUGGCCUACUCUUCUCUAUACUGCUUGCAUUAGAGUGGUGUAGCAUGUUACUGCUUUCUGUUAAUCCUAUCCUGAUGCAUAGCCUGUCCUUGUUACUACUGUUGUUACCUUUACCUGCAAUCCUAAUGCUUAGUAUAGGAUGCUAGUUUAUCAUCAGUGCCCCUACAUUCUAGUUCGUCUGCCAUGCUAUACUAUCGGGAUGUGAUCACUCGGGAGGUGAUCACGGGUAUAUACUUAUACAUAUAUACAUGCUAUAGGUGGUGACUAAAGUCGGGUCAGCUCGUUGAGUACCCGCAAGUGAUUCUGAUGUGGGGGCUGAAGGGGCAGGUGGCUCCAUCCAGGUAGUGGUGGGCCUGAGUUCCCGACGGCCCCCAACUGUUACUUUGAGGCGGAGCGACAGGGCAGGUUGAGACCACCUAGGAGAGAGGUGGGCCUGGCCUGGUCGGUGUUCGUGGUUACUUCAAGAUAACACGCUUAACGAGAUCUUGGUAUUUGAUCUGAGUCUGGCUACUGGCCUAUACGCACUAACCAUCUAAGCAGGGACAGUUAUGGGCACUCGACGUCGUGGUAUCAGCCGAAGCCUUCGUGACAUCAGUGACUGAGCGACGCGCGGCGGGUUGGACCGCGUAACGCAACUUCCUUUGUAAUGGAGGUUGCUAGGUCUGCUCACCGGCCGCGUAUGCAACGUGCAGGUGUGCAAUGGGCGAUGUGCCCAGACCCCUGCGCCAUAGGAUUUAGACCGGCGUGCUGACCUCUCUGUUGUGCCUAGGUAGGGAUGCACGUGUUGAUCUUCCGAGGCUGGGCAUGACCCAGGAAAGUGUGUCCGGCCAAAUGGGAUCGAGCAUGUUGGGAAAUGUGAUGCACCCCUGCAGGGAAGUUGAUCUAUUCGAAUAGCCGUCUCCCUCGGUAAAAGGAUGACCCAGAGUUGUACCUUGACCUUAUGACAACUAGAACCGGAUACUUAAUAAAACACACCCUUCCAAGUGCCAGAUACAACCGGUGAUCGCUCUCUCACAGGGCGACAAGGGGAGGAUCAUCGGUUAAGAUUAUGCUACAUGAUGUUACUGGGUGAACUUACCAUCUACUCUCUUCUUCUGCAUCAAGAUGGAGGUUACCAGAAGUGUAGUCUUCGAAAGGACUAGCUAUCCCCCUCUUAUUCCGGCAUUCUGCAGUUCAGCCCACAUAUGAUACCCUUAUUCCAUUUGAUACCAAUGCAUACAUAUGUAGUGUAGCUCCUUGCUUGCGAGUACUUUGGAUGAGUACUCACGGUUGCUUUGCUCCAUCUUUUUCCCCUUUCUAUACUCGAUUUCUACGACUAGACGAUGGAGCCCAGGAGCCAGACGCCACUAUCGAUGAUGACUACUACUACUCGGGAGGUGCCUACUACUACGUGCAGCCCGCUGACGACGACCAGGAGUAGCUUAGGAGGAUCCCAGGCAGGAGGCCUACGCCUCUUUCGAUCAGUAUCCCAGUUUGUGCUAGCCUUCUUAAGGCAAACUUGUUUGACUUAUGUCUGUACUCAGAUAUUGUUGCUUCCGCUGACUCGUCUAUGAUCGAGCUCUUGUAUUCGAGCCCUCGAGGCCCCUGGCUUGUAAUAUGAUGCUUGUAUGACUUAUUUUAUUUGUAGAGUUGUGUUGCGAUAUCUUCCCGUGAGUCCCUGAUCUUGAUCGUACAUGUUUGCGUGUAUGAUUAGUGUAUGAUUGAAUCGGGGGCGUCAUAUCCAGUCCCUAAUGGUGCGAGUUGAACAGGACGACGGGGCCUUCGAAGCCUCGCCAGAGGCGUGCGGGCGCGGCGACGCUGCCGAAGAAGAUGCAAGCAACGAGGAGGGUUCGAGAUGGAGAUGCCUGCGUGGCGAGGAGUGCUCGGGUUGCGGCUUGCUCGCCGGGAAUGCCUGGAGGCGGAAGUCGCCAGCGCAGGGAGGUGAGGUAGCAGGCCAGUGUGGGGUUGGUGCGGUCGGCGGCCAGGGCCGCGGGGCGGAGCUUGGCGGCGUCUCCCUGUCGGAGAUGAAGAUGGGGAGGCGUGGAGGACGCUGGCGCGGGCGGAGGUCGGGGCCGGAGCUCCUGGCCGCAGCGGCGCGGCGCCGGAGCAGGGUCCAGCGACGAGGAGGAAGUCGAGGUCCUGGAGCCGGGCGACAGGAUACGCUGCGUGAGGGAGAGAGCGAAAAAAGGGAAGAGUCCUGCGAGCGAGAGGAAGAGGGAGGGGAAGGGGAGAUAGAGCGAGGCAGCACGCUCGUUGUCCCUUGGUGGCGCAAGGGAGAGAUCGAGAGGGAGAGGGGAGAUGGGAUCGGGCGUGCUAGGGUUACCGCGGGGCGCGGUUGGGCCUUGGAGGCCGGCCCAGAAGAGAAGGGGGCUGCGCCUAGAUCUUGGCUGGGCUCUCUCUCUCUCUUAUUCCCUCUCUUUCCCUUCUAAAGCCUAGAUAAAAAAUAGCAAAGGAAAGAAAAAGAAAGGAAGGGUGGAGACAGGAUUUAGGCAUGGGGAUAAAUUUUCUGGACUCACAAAAAUGUGCACGGUCCGAGAAAAUAGAAAAGAUCAAGUUUGAAAGAUUAAAUUCAAAUUCCUUUGAAUUUAAUUCAAAAGGCUUGAACUAGGAAAGGUUUUUCAAAGUGCCCAAAAAUGUUGAGAAUUUUAGAUGGAGCUCCGGAAAAUGACGAAAGGACAUAUGACAAAGUUAGAGGCCAAGAAUUUUGAUAACUAAAGCAUUGGGAUUUUUGCAAGUGUAUUAUGGUGAAUUUGAAAUUAAAGAAAUAUUGAAUAUAGCUCCUUAUUAUCGGGAGGAUAUGUUUUAAAGAGAAACCACCAUGUAAGUUCCCUCGAUUUAAAUGGAUCAAAGAUCCAUGCCAUUUAUUUAGUUGAGUUAAGAAAAAGAAAUGACAUGAUAGCAUGAUGACAUGAUGCAAUGCACAUGAUGCAAUGAUGAAUGCAACAGACAAAACAAAAUCACACAACGAAACUCGGAAAACAUGGGACGCGUCUGAAGCUCCGGUCUUGAGGUGUCACAGCGCGUUACUCAGGCAGUUUAGGUUGUGAUCAGAAUAUUAUUCUGAUCCCUGAUCAGAAUAGUGUUUAUGUAUGUAUGUAUGUAUAUAUAGGACAAUAUUAUUCUAAUUCUGAAAUUAGAAUAACUAUUUGGAUAGCACCCUGUAUAAGGCCCGCUGGAGGUUCCUGAGAUCCAAAAAUACCACCGAACAAAAAAAAAC